RNAcentral lists this ribosomal RNA (1237 nucleotides) under metagenome. RNAcentral's name for it is "bacterial LSU rRNA". It matches the Rfam family "Bacterial large subunit ribosomal RNA", at positions 1564 to 2810 of the family's 2925-position model. The record is from RNAcentral.
UGAAUACGAGACGCUAAGGCGUCGAAGUAGUGUAUGUCAUACUUCCAAGAAAAGCUUGCACUGUCAUAAGUAAAAAAUGCCUGUACCAUAACCGACACAGGUGGGUAGGUAGAGUAUACUAAGGGGCGCGAGAUAACUCUCUCUAAGGAACUCGGCAAAAUAACUCCGUAACUUCGGGAGAAGGAGUACCUUAUUCUAUAAGGUUGCAAUAACAAGAUCCAAGCAACUGUUUAUCAAAAACACAGGUCUCCGCUAAGUCGUAAGACGAUGUAUGGGGGCUGACGCCUGCCCAGUGCCAGAAGGUUAAAGAAGUCGGUUAGCAUUAGCGAAGCUGGUAACUGAAGCCCUGGUGAACGGCGGCCGUAACUAUAACGGUCCUAAGGUAGCGAAAUUCCUUGUCGGGUAAGUUCCGACCCGCACGAAAGGCGUAAUGAUUUGGAUACUGUCUCGGAGAGGGGCUCGGUGAAAUAGACUUGUCUGUGAAGAUGCGGACUACCUGCACCAGGACAGAAAGACCCUAUGAAGCUUUACUGUAACUUGAAAUUGAAAUUGGACUUUAUUCGCGCAGUAUAGGUGGGAGGUGUUGAUUAUAAUCUUGCGGGAUUAUUGGAGCCAUCAGUGAGAUACCACUCUUGUAAUGUUAGAUUUCUAACUUUGAAUCAUUAUCUGGUCAAAGGACAGUUUCAGGCGGGCAGUUUGACUGGGGCGGUCGCCUCCCAAACGGUAACGGAGGCGUACAAAGGUUUCCUCUGAACGGGUAGAAAUCGUAUCUAGAGUGUAAAGGCAUAAGGAAGCUUGACUGUGAGACCUACAAGUCGAACAGGGACGAAAGUCGGUCUUAGUGAUCUGACGGUACUGAGUGGAAAGGCCGUCACUCAACGGAUAAAAGUUACUCUAAGGAUAACAGGCUGAUCUCCCCCAAGAGUUCACAUCGACGGGGAGGUUUGGCACCUGAUGUCGGCUCAUCGCAUCCUGGGGCGGUAGUACGUCCCAAGGGUUGGGCUGUUCGCCCAUGAAAGCGGUACGCGAGCUGGGUUCAGAACGUCGUGAGACAGUUCGGUCCAUAUCCGGUGUAGGCGUUAGAAUAUUGAGAGGAGCCUUCUUUAGUACGAGAGGACCGAGAAGGACAUACCUCUGGUGUACCAGUUAUCGUGCCAACGGUAAACGCUGGGUAGCUAUGUAUGGAGUGGAUAACCGCUGAAAGCAUCUAAGUGGGAAGCCCACCUCAAGAUAAGUA